RNAcentral lists this unclassified non-coding RNA (183 nucleotides) under uncultured Cortinarius. RNAcentral describes it as "sequence contains ITS2". The record is from RNAcentral. Lineage: Eukaryota; Fungi; Basidiomycota; Agaricomycetes; Agaricales; Cortinariaceae.
AUAUAUAUCAAUCUUCUCAUUGCUGAGUGGUUUGGAUGUGGGGGUUUGCUGGCCUCUUAUAUGAGUUCAGCUCCCCUGAAAUGCAUUAGCAGAACAACCCGUUCGUUGGCGUGAUAACUAUCUACGCUAUUGAGUGUGAGGUGGCUCAGCUUCCUAACAGUCUUUGGACAAUUUAAUCAUUUU